This 564-nucleotide ribosomal RNA is filed under the name Bacillaceae bacterium sty-2-10-02. Its description in RNAcentral is "bacterial SSU rRNA". It matches the Rfam family "Bacterial small subunit ribosomal RNA", at positions 90 to 639 of the family's 1533-position model. Lineage: Bacteria; Bacillati; Bacillota; Bacilli; Caryophanales; Bacillaceae. The record is from RNAcentral.
AGUUAGCGGCGGACGGGUGAGUAACACGUGGGCAACCUGCCUGUAAGACUGGGAUAACUCCGGGAAACCGGGGCUAAUACCGGAUAAUUCAUUCCCUCUCAUGAGGGAAUGCUGAAAGACGGUUUCGGCUGUCACUUACAGAUGGGCCCGCGGCGCAUUAGCUAGUUGGUGAGGUAACGGCUCACCAAGGCCACGAUGCGUAGCCGACCUGAGAGGGUGAUCGGCCACACUGGGACUGAGACACGGCCCAGACUCCUACGGGAGGCAGCAGUAGGGAAUCUUCCGCAAUGGACGAAAGUCUGACGGAGCAACGCCGCGUGAGCGAUGAAGGCCUUCGGGUCGUAAAGCUCUGUUGUUAGGGAAGAACAAGUAUCGGAGUAACUGCCGGUACCUUGACGGUACCUAACCAGAAAGCCACGGCUAACUACGUGCCAGCAGCCGCGGUAAUACGUAGGUGGCAAGCGUUGUCCGGAAUUAUUGGGCGUAAAGCGCGCGCAGGCGGUCCUUUAAGUCUGAUGUGAAAGCCCACGGCUCAACCGUGGAGGGUCAAUUGGAAACUGGGGG